Molecule: long non-coding RNA, 645 nt
Filed under: Cryptosporidium parvum
Lineage: Eukaryota; Apicomplexa; Conoidasida; Eucoccidiorida; Cryptosporidiidae
Source: RNAcentral
UUUAAAGCUUUCUGCUAUUUAUUGAUAUUAUUUUUUCAUUGUUGAAAGGCUCUUUUCUUUAAUAUUUUACUAUUUUCUUGUCCUAUUUUGAAGACAUUUAUAUAGUUUCAAAAAUAGUCUUGAAUAUUCAAAUAUUAAUUUAAAGAAAAUCAAUCUUGUUUUAAAGUCCAAUUCAGAACUUAUCAUUAUUAUUUCUGCUAUUAGCAGUAAACUUUAUUGUUAUACUUACUUAUUAUCUUACCUAUCAUUUUUUGAUCGCCUAAUCAUUAAAAGAACUUAUUCAAAAUGACUAAUUGUGAACAAUGUAAAUGUACUGCAAAUUGCAAGUGUUGCAUUAAAACUUGCCCCGAAAGUGAAUCUCAAAAAAAUGUUAAUGGAAAAUGCUGCUGUUGUUGUUGCUCAUGCUGUAAGGAUGAAUGUAAAUGUUCACCUGAAUGUAUUUGCAAAAAAAAAUAAAUGCACUUCCGAAAAGCCUACAGAAACAGAAUCUAAAUGUUGUAAAUGUUGAAUAUAUUAAAUAUUUAAUAAAAUAAACAAAGAUAACAUAAAUUUAAUGAGAAGAAUAAAAGUAAAGCAUUGAAUAAAUCUUGAAUUAGAUUCAAGAAACUUUCUAUCUUUCACAAAUAUGAAGAAAAAUAAGAAAUU